RNAcentral lists this unclassified non-coding RNA (335 nucleotides) under soil metagenome. RNAcentral describes it as "partial contains 5.8S ribosomal RNA, internal transcribed spacer 2, and large subunit ribosomal RNA". The stretch from base 1 to 120 matches the Rfam family "5.8S ribosomal RNA", at positions 35 to 154 of the family's 154-position model. The record is from RNAcentral.
GAUGAAGAACGUAGCGAAAUGCGAUAAGUAAUGUGAAUUGCAGAAUUCAGUGAAUCAUCGAAUCUUUGAACGCACAUUGCGCCCGCCAGUAUUCUGGCGGGCAUGCCUGUUCGAGCGUCAUUUCAACCAUCAAGCCCCCGGCUUGUGUUGGGGACCUGCGGCUGCCGCAGGCCCUGAAAACCAGUGGCGGGCUCGCUAGUCACUCCGAGCGUAGUAAUACAUCUCGCUCAGGGCGUGCUGCGGGUUCCGGCCGUUAAAAAGCCUUAUUUACCCAAGGUUGACCUCGGAUCAGGUAGGAAGACCCGCUGAACUUAAGCACAUCAAUAAGCGGAGGA